RNAcentral lists this ribosomal RNA (208 nucleotides) under uncultured bacterium. RNAcentral describes it as "partial 16S ribosomal RNA". It matches the Rfam family "Bacterial small subunit ribosomal RNA", at positions 568 to 774 of the family's 1533-position model. The record is from RNAcentral.
CGCGUAGGUGGUUUGUUAAGUUGGAUGUGAAAUCCCCGGGCUCAACCUGGGAACUGCAUCCAAAAACUGGCAAGCUAGAGUAUGGUAGAGGGUGGUGGAAUUUCCUGUGUAGCGGUGAAAUGCGUAGAUAUAGGAAGGAACACCAGUGGCGAAGGCGACCACCUGGACUGAUACUGACACUGAGGUGCGAAAGCGUGGGGAGCAAACA